RNAcentral lists this long non-coding RNA (220 nucleotides) under Elaeis guineensis (African oil palm). RNAcentral describes it as "long non-coding RNA (EGUI_LNC065027)". The record is from RNAcentral. Lineage: Eukaryota; Viridiplantae; Streptophyta; Magnoliopsida; Arecales; Arecaceae.
ACUUGAAUUUUUGAAGCUCUGGAAGUUCAAUUGAAAUUGUGUUAAGAGGCGAACUGUGAUAAUCCACUAGAACCUUAAGAGCAUUUGCAACCGCCGUUUCCUUAUUAUGAAAGCAGGCAUGAAUCCUUAGGUAUUCAUGAAGCCAAAUAUCGUCCCAAAACAGAGCACAUAAACCGUUUUGAAUCUUGGACUUUACAAAGGAGCGGAACAAUGAUUUAAC